Molecule: non-coding RNA, 479 nt
Organism: Oryza sativa Japonica Group (Japanese rice)
Lineage: Eukaryota; Viridiplantae; Streptophyta; Magnoliopsida; Poales; Poaceae
Source: RefSeq, a predicted model, not a curated record
GUUCUGUCUUUAUGAAAACCCGUUUGAUUCGAUUUAGUCUCUCAUCAUCUCCUUCAAAGCUUGCAGUGCUAAUAGCUGUCACAGGCCAUGGACGCAUCAGCAUUGAAGCGAGUACUGAUUCCUGACCAGAUAAAAACAGGAAUUAGCCAUAAUGUAUUAUGAUAAUACCAGGCUCAGAUUGCGUUGACAAAAUCAGUAAUUAUGUUUUUGAGGCACAUUGCCCAGUGCCACCUAUGCUGAGACUCUGUUGGGAUAAUCUCUCUCUCUGGAAUUCUGGUCUCAGGGCAGCAGUUGUUGGAGGAUCAUCUGCUCCUGUGCCGAAUAUCAAAUUGAUCUCAUUCUCAGGCAAUGUUGGUAAACCCUGUUAAACAUUAUUAUUCAGAGGUUGCCUUUAGUUAUACAUAUGAGCUUAUAAUUAUGAUAUGCGAUUGAAAAUAACAGAAUAUUGAACAAAGAAACACAAAAAUUAUGCUUAUGAA